This 108-nucleotide small nuclear RNA is filed under the name Procavia capensis (Cape rock hyrax). Lineage: Eukaryota; Metazoa; Chordata; Mammalia; Hyracoidea; Procaviidae. The record is from RNAcentral.
GUGCUCAUUUCAGCAGCAUAUGUACUAAAAAUUGGAAGGCUACAGAGAAGAUUAACAUGGCCACUGUGCAAAGAUGACACAAAAAUUCAUGAAGCAUUGCAUAUUUUU